This 468-nucleotide ribosomal RNA is filed under the name uncultured bacterium. RNAcentral describes it as "partial 16S ribosomal RNA". It matches the Rfam family "Bacterial small subunit ribosomal RNA", at positions 28 to 507 of the family's 1533-position model. The record is from RNAcentral.
GAUGAACGCUGGCGGCGUGCCUAACACAUGCAAGUCGAACGAAAAGACCCUGCUUUUGUGGGGUGCUCGUGUGCCGAACGCGUGAGUAAAACGCGUGUAAACCGCCCCUGUCUGUGUGGUAACAUCUGGAAAAUGGGGCUAAUACCGCAUAGGAGCUCCUGCAGCAUGGUGGGCGUUGGAAAGUUUCGGCGGUUGGGGAUGGAAUCGCGGCUUAUCAGCUUGUUGGUGAGGUAGUGGCUUACCAAGGGUUAGACGGGUAGCCGGCAUGGGAGGGGGACCGGGCACAUUGGGACUGAGAUACGGACCAGACGCGUACGGGAGGCAGCAGGCGAGAACAUGGCGCAGUGGGCGGGAGCGUGAUACAACGACGCCGCGUGCGGGAUGACCUGUUACUGGUUGUGAACCGCUUUCUCCUGUGACGAGGCGUGAGUGACGGUAAUUGGUAAAGAAGCACCGGCUAACUACGUG